AAGAUCGAAGAACAAUAAAAUUGAAUCACUUAUAAGGAAGAUAAGGGAAUAAAGUAAAAGCUUUAACUGCCCCAGCAACCGUGAUAUGGACGAUGAUCAAAGCCACUGUAGAAAUAUGGGAAGGUGAUCAGAGGAUGAAAUGAAGUCGGGAGACCUGCUUUCUUAUAAAUAGUUUU
This is a non-coding RNA of Firmicutes bacterium CAG:308, 176 nucleotides long. The record is from Rfam. Lineage: Bacteria; Bacillati; Bacillota.